GCGAGCCUGAUGCAGCGACGCCGCGUGAGGGAUGACGGCCUUCGGGUUGUAAACCUCUUUCAGUAGGGAAGAAGCGAAAGUGACGGUACCUGCAGAAGAAGCACCGGCUAACUACGUGCCAGCAGCCGCGGUAAUACGUAGGGUGCGAGCGUUAUCCGGAAUUAUUGGGCGUAAAGAGCUCGUAGGCGGUUUGUCGCGUCUGUCGUGAAAGUCCGGGGCUUAACCCCGGAUCUGCGGUGGGUACGGGCAGACUAGAGUGCAGUAGGGGAGACUGGAAUUCCUGGUGUAGCGGUGGAAUGCGCAGAUAUCAGGAGGAACACCGAUGGCGAAGGCAGGUCUCUGGGCUGUAACUGACGCUGAGGAGCGAAAGCAUGGGGAGCGAACAGGAUUAGAUACCCUGGUAGUCCAUGCCGUAAACGUUGGGCACUAGGUGUGGGGACCAUUCCACGGUUUCCGCGCCGCAGCUAACGCAUUAAGUGCCCCGCCUGGGGAGUACGGCCGCAAGGCUAAAACUCAAAUG
The sequence is a ribosomal RNA, 520 nucleotides long. It matches the Rfam family "Bacterial small subunit ribosomal RNA", at positions 377 to 907 of the family's 1533-position model.